Molecule: ribosomal RNA, 1125 nt
Filed under: Triticum aestivum (bread wheat)
Lineage: Eukaryota; Viridiplantae; Streptophyta; Magnoliopsida; Poales; Poaceae
Description: partial small subunit ribosomal RNA
Source: RNAcentral
AUGCAGGAUAAAAACAUGCCGCUGAACCUCAUACCUGCCACUGGAAUGAAGUUCACCACGUACGACAAGGCAUGGGACUUUUACAACAAUUAUGCAAGAUGUGCAGGGUUUGGCAUACGCAAGAGGGCAAAACACAGGAGAAAGGCCUACAUUGUCUGCUCAAGAGAAGGGACGCACAAGCAGACUGUGUCAGAUUAUCACCGAAAACAUCAGAAGACAUAAAAAAGGAUUGACUGCAAGGCAAAGAUUAGAGCCAAAAAGAGGAAGGAUGGCAAAUUUGUGAUAGAAAUGGUUGAACUCAACCACAAUCAGAAGAUGCUGGAAAGCCCCGAGAUGCUUUUGCACAUGCGAUCGCACAAAAAAGAUGACCCUUUGAUAGACCAGUUAGUGAAAGACAUGCAACUGGACAACCACCCACACACUCAGAUGAUGUCAACGCUGUCGUGUACGUCCGGUGGUCUACAGUACAUGGGACAUACUAGCCGCGACUGGGUAAACACGAAACAAAAGUUUGCCAGAGAAGAGUCCCAAGAUGACGUCAAGAAACUUUUGGAUUUCUUUGAGAAGAUGCAGAAGAUAAACCUAGAGUUCUUCCAUGAUUAUGACGUUGAUGCAGAUAACAGUGUAAGAAACGUCUUUGCCAACGCAAGUUGCAAAGGAUCGUAUGAAGAUUUUGGAGACUGCGUUACAUUUGACACGACAUACAAAACUAACAAAUUCCACAUGCCGUUGGGAGUCUUCGUGGGAGUGAACCAUCAUCUAUAGAGCACCAUAUUUGCUAUUGCCCUCAUGCAAGAUGAAACAAUACCAUCGUUCGAGUGGGUUUUCAAAACAUUUCUAAGGUGUAUGAACAACAAGCCGCCAAUCUGCAUGCUCACAGACCAGUGUUCUUCGAUGAAGGCAGCAUUAAAUACUAUCUUCCCAGAUACACUGCAUAAGUUGUGUCGGUGGCAUAUCAUGAAGAAGUACAAAGACCACCUCGCCUUGUUGUAUAAGGCGCACGAGAAACUCAAGGAUGACCUCAAUGCGGUGCUGAACCACCCACUAAUGCCGUCAGAAUUUGAACGAGCAUGGAAGGACCUCAUUCAGAGAUACAACUUGCUAAACGACGAAGUGAUGAAUUAG